CCUACGGGAGGCAGCAGUGGGGAAUAUUGGGCAAUGGGCGCAAGCCUGACCCAGCAACGCCGCGUGAAGGAAGAAGGCUUUCGGGUUGUAAACUUCUUUUAAGAGGGAAGAGCAGAAGACGGCACUUCUUGAAUAACCCACGGCUAACUACGUGCCAGCAGCCGCGGGAAUACGGAGGUGGGAAGCGUUGUCCGGAUUUACUGGGUGUAAAGGGCGUGCAGCCUGGAAGACAAGUCAGAUGUGAAACCCCGGGGCACAACCGCGGAACUGCAUUUGAAAGUGUGGGUCUUGAGUACAGGAGAGGUCAACGGAAUUCCUGGUGUAGCGGUGAAAUGCGUAGAUAUAAGGAAGAACACCAGUGGCGAAGGCGGAUGACUGGACGGUGACUGACGGUGAGGCGCGAAAGCGUGGGGAGCAAACAGGAUUAGAUACCCGAGUAGUC
Molecule: ribosomal RNA, 442 nt
Filed under: uncultured bacterium
Lineage: Bacteria
Description: partial 16S ribosomal RNA
Rfam family: Bacterial small subunit ribosomal RNA
Source: RNAcentral